CUGAGAGCAACAUAAAUGAGGACCCUGGCCUCGAAGUAAGCUAGUGAUAAAAGCGAGGAUUUAAAAAAAUUACAUGGAGAAUGAGCCUCAGAACAAAAGGCAUGGCUUGACAAGCAGCGGCAUGUCCACACCCGGGAUCUGAACCGGCGAACCCAGGCUGCCAAGAAGUGGAACGUGUGCACUUAACUGCUGUGACACCAGGCCGGCCCCUAAAGACCAAAUUCUUAUCCAUGAUACUGAAUUCUUAUGCAAGCUCUGAAAGCUCCAGAAUCAUCUCAGAUUUCCAAAGAGGAAUGGAGUUUCUAGUUUGAAACUCCUCAGUGAAGAUGGUCCAGUGACUUGAUUGCUUUUGUAGACUACACUGAAAUUUCCACUUUGUUCCUCGAGUCUAAGUAAAUGUCAGAAAUACUGAAAAGGUUGAAACUGACAUGUUUCUAUCAACGAGGUCAUACUGAUUGGAUGUAGUGGGAUAAGAUGGGCUCAGAAAUCACUCACCCUCCAGGUUUUCUGAAGAGAAAAAUCAUCAAAAAGCGUGGAAGGACACCGUGACUCGUUUUCCUCAGUUACUCACGCCAAGCAGGGACCCUCUUGGUCUGGCUGCCACACCCGCAGUAGAUGUAUUCACGUGGCGUUAGAAGGCUGUUCUUGGCUGUUACACACACUGCCUGGGGCUUUAGAUGAGAAGCUUGACUUUGGAAAUUCAGUCGCACAAUAGGAUACAUGGAAAGCGUGCCUCUCCUGUAUCUACUAUAAUUCUCUGCUUAUUGCUCCUGGAGAGACACACAGGUUGCACUGUUCCUGUCACAUCUGUCUUAAAAGAAUGGUUGGCAGACGUAAGUGGUAAAAUAGUCAAGAUGGAUUCGGAUGAAGCAAACUGCAGAGCCAUAUUUUGUUUGAUGGAAACAGAAGGAAGUUGGUUCCCUUCUCCUUACAUUGAGGCUUCAUCUAAGUGCUCUAACAUCCUUGUUUUCACCUUCUUUCCCCAGCUGCUGUGAGGGUUGGGUUCCUACCGAGAGGAGCAUAACAAAAGGAGAAGGAGUCUUGUUUUUCCAGGAGAACGAGGAAAGGGAAAUAAGACGGUGAGUCAGCGGGCCAGCAGGCGUCCGCUGCACGUGGAACACAGCACUGCUCACUUCCCCCUCCACCUGGUGUUCUGGCUGCCCCUGGAUUAGCUCCUAUUGCUGCUUACACGGCAACAGGCUCGAGAGAGAGCUUCCAGGUUCACCACCCUCACCCCCAACCUCCUGAGAAAUGUCAGAAACUGCAUGAGGGACAUAGGGACCAGAAGCAUGGAGCUCCCCCUGCCUAGGGCCCCAUAAUGAUGCAGCAGAAAAGAGGAUAGGGGCCUUUGAGUUAGGGAGGGAAGAAGCGUUACCUAAUAGUGAUGCAUUAAAAUAACAGAGUUAAGGGUAGAUUCCUGCUGCCAAUACAGAAUUAAACUGGUCGGGGUUAAACAGGAUAGAGGGAAAUGGAGGAAACUAGCCAAGAGACAAGAGGAAUUAUCCAUAGUUACUCAGUGUAAUUGCAUUUAUACAGUUGGGGGGCCUGCCACUGAGCCAUGGGGGAUACCUCCACUCAGCCUUUCUCAGCUGAACACAGAAAAUGAUUUGGGUGACUAUUUUCUCAGUUUUCUUAAGGAUGAUACAGAACAUUCUAGAUGCAUAAGAGAGAAGUUAAUUUCUGACGUACUAUAGAUGGCUUAGGGCGUUAGAACUCAAUUCCCUCUGGUUAAGAGAGUCCCCAUUGUUCUUGGCACCACAUAUGUCAAAGAUGGGGAUAGUACUAUGGACAGCCCACCCUGGGGAAUGCCUGUUUGGUCAAGGAGUAGGGUAUGUUUUCCUUAUUCCCUUGACCCAGGGCAGGUUUUGGAGUUCAUAUAACUGAGAAUUGCCUUUCAUUCAUUCACUCAACAAAUAACUAUUAGUCUCUUGCUCUUUUCUAGUUACUAUGGCAAGAACAAAGAAUAUAAUGGUGAACAAGAAACAGAUAAAAACAAAUAAGUGAUGACCCAUGCUAUGUUGGAGAAAACCUCCAAGGGGCCAGGACAGAAAGAAAGAUGAGGGAUUUGGGAGCAUGGAUGGUGGGUGUGUUCGGGGGUAGGCAUACCUUGAAGAAGGAGGUUACUAAGCACGCACAAAUUGAUGCUGGCCCUCAUAUCAGUUCCCCUACAUUAAACCCAGCAUACAUGGGGUGAAAACCAAAGCAUUCAUUCCCUGCUUACUCCUUGGCUUCCUGGCUCCAGAAUGCACUAUCCGCCACGGAGGCAAACAGCCAAGGUGACCCACCUGCAAAUUCUCUUAUCAUCCUCCUCUCUAUAAACAACCUCCCAAGGCUGAAUGCAGGCUGGUGGGAAAGUUCCGACCAGCAAGGCCCCUGAUUCUCCCCGACUCCUCUACAAGCAGCCACAUUCCUCAGAAACCUUUAAAACCCCUGGCCUCCCAUCUUUUGGGGAGCCAGACGAAACAAAACUAAUUUGAGGGCUCACUCUCAUCUCUCAGCUGAUAACAUCCUAAAUAAAAACCCUUUCUUUGC
This 2532-nucleotide long non-coding RNA is filed under the name Equus caballus (horse). RNAcentral's name for it is "lncRNA (ENSECAG00000048793.1)". The record is from RNAcentral. Lineage: Eukaryota; Metazoa; Chordata; Mammalia; Perissodactyla; Equidae.